UAAAAUAAUUGAUUUUAUAAUUAAAUUAUCGCUAAAGGGGCUUUGAGUGACAAAACCGUCACUGAAGGUGUUCUUGAGGGUUCAUCAAACCCAGAUAUGCAUGGCAUUUAACCAGGUGGUAUGUUUGACCAGUCACCAAUUCUUGAUCUUAAUGUUUUCUAGGCAGUUAAAGUGUUAGGAUUCUAGUACUUAUGUAAUACUACAAUAACCAAUCAAUUGUAUGGCCAAAACAUAUCAAAUCAGAAAGAUUCAAGCCUUCAAAAAUCUUGUCAGAGCUGUUUUUCAUUUCUGGGUUUUCCAAAAAUGAAGAACAGUUGCAGGGUACCUACUUUGGAUCCUUAUAACUUGUAUCCUGGUUCUACUUUAUGUGAUCUAAAGGUUCAUAACUCUAGUACAGAUGUCAAAGAACAACUAUGUAUCUACAGAUCAACAUAACAACAUCACACAUGACAGAUCAAGGUUGGUCAAACCUUGUUAGAAAAACGAGUCUUGAAAAAUCUGGGUUUUUCAGAUUUGUUCUUCACGCAGACUGGUCAACCUACUUUGACCUUGUAUAACUUUGAUUCUGUUAAGCAUCUGGGUGAUCUAAAGUGUUAGAUGUAUAGCCUAUAUGUCAGUCUACAAGCCCGAAACAACAACAUAACAAAAAACAUUAAACACAGUAAGAUCUAAGGCCUGCAAAAUGUUGUCAGAAAUUUUGGGUUUCUGGGUUUACCCAGAUUUGCAGUUUUUUUAUGAUCGGUCAACGUGCUUUGACCGCUUAUAUCUAUCAAUCUACACAUGAUCUGACCUCGUUUCCAAUUUCAGAUCAUAGUCCACAUGGAAUAGAACAAAUAUAUAACAUAAAACAACACAAAGCAAAAACAGAGAAGGAUCUAGGGCCUUUGACAUUCGGCUGUCAGACAAUAUUUUAGCGUUCAUAGUC
Molecule: long non-coding RNA, 925 nt
Filed under: Panax ginseng (ginseng)
Lineage: Eukaryota; Viridiplantae; Streptophyta; Magnoliopsida; Apiales; Araliaceae
Description: long non-coding RNA (PGIN_LNC001158)
Source: RNAcentral